This 315-nucleotide ribosomal RNA is filed under the name Triticum aestivum (bread wheat). Its description in RNAcentral is "partial small subunit ribosomal RNA". The record is from RNAcentral. Lineage: Eukaryota; Viridiplantae; Streptophyta; Magnoliopsida; Poales; Poaceae.
AUGACUCCCUUAUGCCCUUGCGAGCAGCGGCCACCAUUGGGCAGGGACAGAGCCGUUGAGCGCCCUUGCUCGGUGGUCCACCACCCUUCUCGCCUCCCGUUCGACGCCUCUUCUCCACACCCCUUCGUUCGAUGUGCUUCGACUCAUGAUGUACCAGAGUGGAGUCAGUAUAGAUAUCAGAGACUGAAGUAUAGGACGCGCUCAGGGGUGUGCGGCAGCCCAUGGCGGGCAAGGCGUGCUGCAGUGGGGUUAUGGCAGCAUUAUGGUCAUGAGAGAGCUAGCAUGCUCUUUGGUUGUUGUGUGAGCUGCACCUAA